AACGAACGCUGGCGGCAUGCCUAAUACAUGCAAGUCGAACGAGACCUUCGGGUCUAGUGGCGCACGGGUGCGUAACGCGUGGGAAUCUGCCCUUGGGUUCGGAAUAACUCGCCGAAAGGCGUGCUAAUACCGGAUGAUGACGUAAGUCCCAAGAUUUAUCGCCCAAGGAUGAGCCCGCGUAGGAUUAGCUUGUUGGUGAGGUAAAAGCUCACCAAGGCGACGAUCCUUAGCUGGUCUGAGAGGAUGAUCAGCCACACUGGGACUGAGACACGGCCCAGACUCCUACGGGAGGCAGCAGUAGGGAAUAUCGGACAAUGGGCGAAAGCCUGAUCCAGCAAUGCCGCGUGAGUGAUGAAGGCCUUAGGGUUGUAAAGCUCUUUUAGCCGGGAUGAUAAUGACAGUACCGGGAGAAUAAGCUCCGGCUAACUCCGUGCCAGCAGCCGCGGUAAUACGGAGGGAGCUAGCGUUGUUCGGAAUUACUGGGCGUAAAGCG
Molecule: ribosomal RNA, 493 nt
Filed under: uncultured bacterium
Lineage: Bacteria
Description: bacterial SSU rRNA
Rfam family: Bacterial small subunit ribosomal RNA
Source: RNAcentral